AUUGAACGCUGGCGGCAUGCUUUACACAUGCAAGUCGAACGGUAACAGGUUAAGCUGACGAGUGGCGAACGGGUGAGUAAUGCAUCGGAACGUGCCCGGUCGUGGGGGAUAACACUUCGAAAGAAGUGCUAAUACCGCAUACGAUCUGAGGAUGAAAGCGGGGGACCGUAAGGCCUCGCGCGAUCGGAGCGGCCGAUGUCAGAUUAGGUAGUUGGUGGGGUAAAGGCCCACCAAGCCGAAGAUCUGUAGCUGGUCUGAGAGGACGACCAGCCACACGGGGACGGAGAAACGGCCCAGACGCCUACGGGAGGAGGAAGUGGGGAAUUUUGGACAAUGGGCGCAAGCCUGAUCCAGCAAUGCCGCGUGCAGGAAGAUGGCCUUCGGGUUGUAAACUGCUUUUGUACGGAGCGAAAAGGCUCUCUCUAAUACAGGGGGCUGAUGACGGUACCGUAAGAAUAAGCACCGGCUAACUACGUGCCAGCCGCCGCCGUAA
RNAcentral lists this ribosomal RNA (493 nucleotides) under uncultured bacterium. Its description in RNAcentral is "partial 16S ribosomal RNA". It matches the Rfam family "Bacterial small subunit ribosomal RNA", at positions 29 to 523 of the family's 1533-position model. The record is from RNAcentral.